UACGUAGGGUGCAAGCGUUAAUCGGAAUUACUGGGCGUAAAGCGUGCGCAGGCGGCUAUGCAAGACAGAUGUGAAAUCCCCAGGCUCAACCUGGGAACUGCGUCGGAUACUGGAUGGCUUGAAUUCGGGAGAGGGAUGCAGAAUUCCAGGUGUAGCGGUGAAAUGCGUAGAUAUCUGGAGGAAUACCGGUGGCGAAGGCGGCAUCCUGGACCGAGAUUGACGCUGAAAAGCGAAAGCCAGGGGAGCAAACGGG
Molecule: ribosomal RNA, 253 nt
Filed under: uncultured bacterium
Lineage: Bacteria
Description: partial 16S ribosomal RNA
Rfam family: Bacterial small subunit ribosomal RNA
Source: RNAcentral